AAUGAACGCUGGCGGCGUGCCUAACACAUGCAAGUCGGAUGUGCCGCAAGGUGCAUGGCAGACGGGUGAGUAACGCGUGGGGAAUCUACCUUUUUGUGGGGAAUAACGCUCCGAAAGGAGUGGUAAUACCGCAUGAGACCGUGAGCUGGGACGCUCGCGGUGAAACCUGGGGACCGGCAACGGCCUGGGGCAAGGAGAGGAUCCUGCGUCUGAUUAGCUAGUUGGCGGGGUAAUGGCCCACCAAGGCGACGAUCAGUAGCCGGCCUGAGAGGGUGAUCGGCCACACUGGAACUGAGACACGGUCCAGACUCCUACGGGAGGCAGCAGUGGGGAAUUUUUGCGCAAUGGGCGAAAGCCUGACGCAGCAACGCCGCGUGGGUGAUGAAGGUCUUCGGGACUGUAAAACCCUGUCGUCAGGGACGAAGGGUGCGCAUGUGAAUAGCAUGUGUACUUGACGGUACCUGGGAGAGGGAAAGCCCCCGGGCUAAACUC
This 492-nucleotide ribosomal RNA is filed under the name uncultured bacterium. Its description in RNAcentral is "bacterial SSU rRNA". It matches the Rfam family "Bacterial small subunit ribosomal RNA", at positions 29 to 504 of the family's 1533-position model. The record is from RNAcentral.